This 257-nucleotide ribosomal RNA is filed under the name uncultured bacterium. Its description in RNAcentral is "partial 16S ribosomal RNA". It matches the Rfam family "Bacterial small subunit ribosomal RNA", at positions 524 to 776 of the family's 1533-position model. The record is from RNAcentral.
UACAGAGACCUCAAGCGUUAUCCGGAAUCAUUGGGCGUAAAGCGUACCGAUAGGUGGUUUUGCAAGUCAGAUGUGAAAUUCCAAGGCUCAACUUUGGGACUGUCAUUUGAAACUGCACAACUAGAGGGGCAAAGAGGAAGCUGGAACGAACGGUGUAGUAGUGAAAUGCGUUGAUAUCGUUCGGAACACCGAUAGCGAAGGCAGGCUUCUGGGUGCCACCUGACACUUCUAGAACGAAAGCGUGGGGAGCGAAUGGG